UGUCCCUCACUCAUAGAAUAUCCCACUUGGGUUGUCAUGAUCUUUAACUCUUGAUUGUUAGAUCAAUGAGCACUAUUAGAGCACCUCGCUCUGAUACCACUUGUUGCCCAAGGUGACAAUCCAAGAGGGGGGGUGAAUUGGUUUCUUCUAAAUUUUAGUGCUUUUAGAAACUUUCGUAAUUAAGUGCGGUGGAUGCUUUCUUAGGUUAUUUGAGUGAGUUAAGUUAAUACAAGAAUAGAAGAUAAAGCAAGGAAAAAUGAAAUCACAAACACAAUGCAAACACACCAAUAUAUAGUGGUUCGGUGCUCUCCUUAGCACCUACGUCCACUCCCCAAGCGUACCCUUGGGAAUUCACUAUAAUCUCACGGAUUACAGUUGGAUUGUUUUCCGGGCUCACAAUCCAAAAACCUUGUUGGUUUUACGGGCUCACCAACGAACCUAUACAACUUUGAUUUUCCGGGUUCACCAAAAACCUUGUUGGUUUUGCGGGCUUACCAACGAACCUAUACAACUUUGG
This 517-nucleotide long non-coding RNA is filed under the name Phoenix dactylifera (date palm). RNAcentral's name for it is "long non-coding RNA (PDAC_LNC022738)". The record is from RNAcentral. Lineage: Eukaryota; Viridiplantae; Streptophyta; Magnoliopsida; Arecales; Arecaceae.